AUUGAACGCUGGCGGCAUGCCUUACACAUGCAAGUCGAACGGUAACAGGUCUUCGGAUGCUGACGAGUGGCGAACGGGUGAGUAAUACAUCGGAACGUGCCUAGUAGUGGGGGAUAACUACUCGAAAGAGUGGCUAAUACCGCAUGAGAUCUACGGAUGAAAGCAGGGGAUCGCAAGACCUUGUGCUACUAGAGCGGCCGAUGGCAGAUUAGGUAGUUGGUGGGAUAAAAGCUUACCAAGCCGACGAUCUGUAGCUGGUCUGAGAGGACGAUCAGCCACACUGGGACUGAGACACGGCCCAGACUCCUACGGGAGGCAGCAGUGGGGAAUUUUGGACAAUGGGCGCAAGCCUGAUCCAGCAAUGCCGCGUGCAGGAUGAAGGCCUUCGGGUUGUAAACUGCUUUUGUACGGAACGAAAAGCCCCGGGUUAAUACCCUGGGGUCAUGACGGUACCGUAAGAAUAAGCACCGGCUAACUCUGUGCCAGCCGCCGCAGUAA
This 498-nucleotide ribosomal RNA is filed under the name uncultured bacterium. Its description in RNAcentral is "partial 16S ribosomal RNA". It matches the Rfam family "Bacterial small subunit ribosomal RNA", at positions 30 to 523 of the family's 1533-position model. The record is from RNAcentral.